This 1088-nucleotide ribosomal RNA is filed under the name Lentilactobacillus hilgardii. RNAcentral's name for it is "bacterial SSU rRNA". It matches the Rfam family "Bacterial small subunit ribosomal RNA", at positions 44 to 1103 of the family's 1533-position model. The record is from RNAcentral. Lineage: Bacteria; Bacillati; Bacillota; Bacilli; Lactobacillales; Lactobacillaceae.
CAGUCGAACGCGUCUUGGUCAAUGAAGUUGAGUGCUUGCAUUUAACUGAUUUGACAUUAAGACGAGUGGCGAACUGGUGAGUAACACGUGGGUAACUUGCCCCGAAGCGGGGGAUAACAUUUGGAAACAGGUGCUAAUACCGCAUAACAACAAAAACCACAUGGUUUUUGUUUAAAAGAUGGUUUCGGCUAUCACUUUGGGAUGGACCCGCGGCGUAUUAGCUAGUUGGUGAGGUAAUGGCUCACCAAGGCAAUGAUACGUAGCCGACCUGAGAGGGUAAUCGGCCACAUUGGGACUGAGACACGGCCCAAACUCCUACGGGAGGCAGCAGUAGGGAAUCUUCCACAAUGGACGAAAGUCUGAUGGAGCAACGCCGCGUGAGUGAUGAAGGGUUUCGGCUCGUAAAACUCUGUUGUUGGAGAAGAACGGGUGUCAGAGUAACUGUUGACAUCGUGACGGUAUCCAACCAGAAAGCCACGGCUAACUACGUGCCAGCAGCCGCGGUAAUACGUAGGUGGCAAGCGUUGUCCGGAUUUAUUGGGCGUAAAGCGAGCGCAGGCGGUUUUUUAGGUCUGAUGUGAAAGCCUUCGGCUUAACCGGAGAAGUGCAUCGGAAACCGGGAGACUUGAGUGCAGAAGAGGACAGUGGAACUCCAUGUGUAGCGGUGAAAUGCGUAGAUAUAUGGAAGAACACCAGUGGCGAAGGCGGCUGUCUGGUCUGCAACUGACGCUGAGGCUCGAAAGCAUGGGUAGCGAACAGGAUUAGAUACCCUGGUAGUCCAUGCCGUAAACGAUGAGUGCUAAGUGUUGGAGGGUUUCCGCCCUUCAGUGCUGCAGCUAACGCAUUAAGCACUCCGCCUGGGGAGUACGACCGCAAGGUUGAAACUCAAAGGAAUUGACGGGGGCCCGCACAAGCGGUGGAGCAUGUGGUUUAAUUCGAUGCUACGCGAAGAACCUUACCAGGUCUUGACAUCUUCUGCUAACCUAAGAGAUUAGGCGUUCCCUUCGGGGACGGAAUGACAGGUGGUGCAUGGUUGUCGUCAGCUCGUGUCGUGAGAUGUUGGGUUAAGUCCCGCAACGAGCGCAACC